This 1483-nucleotide long non-coding RNA is filed under the name Gallus gallus (chicken). RNAcentral describes it as "lncRNA (ENSGALG00010003728.1)". The record is from RNAcentral. Lineage: Eukaryota; Metazoa; Chordata; Aves; Galliformes; Phasianidae.
AGGGGGGCUGAAACUCAAUGAUCAUUGUGGUCCUUUUCAACCCAGGCCAUUCUAUGAUUCUAUGACAAACAGCUGGGUCUGCCGUGUACCCUCACAGCAUCCAGAGGUCACCAUUGACAUCAAAGGGCCCAAUGGAGACCAAAAUACCCAACCCGCGCCGUUCAGUCUCUCAUAGCUGGAGGCAGUUGGUGGCCCUUAGUAUCAUCCUGGUUGACCUGCUGCUGCUCAGUGCUGCCAAGCAAGCUUGCAGGCUCACCACGUUAGCAUACUGGUAACAUGCAGAAUCAAAGUCCAUAACCCACAUAAGAUUUUAAAGUAGGUAUAUUUAUUGUGGCACCGUGUGUGAGGGGGAUAAUUCCUUACUCGCACACACCAAGAACAGACGUGGUUACAUAUUUAAAGACAUAACAUAGACAUAUUUGUUACAUUCCAAAAAAAUGGGCUGGAGUUUUGAGAAAUUACUGACAUGUUGUAUCACCCUCUUAAGCACGCGUCCUAAAGAUGUGGUGGGGGUCUCUGGUAGUCGUUGGAUGAAGGCUGAGUCUUUUUUGCUGUGAACGUUCAUCCUUUUCCGGGGGUUGCAUUGUGUCACAACAGCAACACUGCCUCGAUAUAUUCAUGGGACCCCCCAUGAAGACCCGGUGCAGGACUGCAUCCGCCUGAUGAGCUGUCACUGUUGUUGUCCCUCUCCAACUCUCUCCGCCACAGUGGGGAUUUUGCAAAGCUGAAGGCCUUCCACUUGGUGCCUGAGGGUUGCAGCUUUGGGCCAUCUGGAAGAACAGCCUUGCUGACCUUGUUCCAGAGCCGAAUGGGGCAUUGAGAAAGGCCUGGUCAGCACAGCCACUUGGAGGCAUGGUGCUCAGCAUCAGUGGACCCACUCCGCUGUCUUUCUUGUGCUGGGGGCCCCAGAAGUGGAUGCAGUGCGGCAGGUGGGGCCUUGUGAGAGCAGAGUAGAGGGACAGAAUCACUUCCCCUGACCUGCUAAUCACGUUUGUCUUAAUGCAGCACAGGAAACGCUUGGCCUUGGGGGCUGCAAGUGCACGGUGCCGGCUCAUGUUGAGCCUUUCAUCAGCCAACACCCCCAGGACACUUUCCUCUUCACAGUCCUCCAGCCACUCAUCCCCAAGCCUAUAGCACUGCAUGGGGUUGUUGUGGCCAAAGUGCAGGACCCGCCACUUGGCCUUGUUGACCUCUCCAGUUAAUCAGGAGGGCUGGUAGAUGGCCGAGAGCGGCUUGGCAGUCACCUCUGCCAGCUCCCUCAGGAGUCUGUGGAGAGGCUCUUCCUGUCCCCCGUGCUGUGCGCUGUCUUCCUGCACUGCUGGCUCCUGACAUUUUUCACAUGGUGCUGCAUGAGGAUUGUCAUAAUUCUCUCCAUUAAGGUUAUGUAGGCGUUCAUCUGGCAGAGCAGGUCGAGAGCAUUUAGGUUGUCCGUUUCCUCUGUUCCUAAGGAAGCUGGGUCCGCUUGUCCCGUUCUCUGAAAGUG